RNAcentral lists this transfer RNA (72 nucleotides) under Ovis aries (sheep). It matches the Rfam family "tRNA". Rfam says of the family: Transfer RNA (tRNA) molecules are approximately 80 nucleotides in length. Their secondary structure includes four short double-helical elements and three loops (D, anti-codon, and T loops). Lineage: Eukaryota; Metazoa; Chordata; Mammalia; Artiodactyla; Bovidae. The record is from Rfam by way of RNAcentral.
UCCCUGGUGGCUCAGAUGGUGAAGAACCCAUUUGUAAUGGAGGAGACCCAGGUUCAAUCCCUGGUUGGGGAA